Small nucleolar RNA from Gorilla gorilla gorilla (western lowland gorilla), 136 nucleotides. The record is from Ensembl. NCBI's taxonomy places the organism in Eukaryota, Metazoa, Chordata, Mammalia, Primates, Hominidae.
GUGCCCUUUUAAAGUAGACGCAGUUUUGUAAGAGGCUAACACAUAAGGGUAAAUUAAAGUAAGUCUCCGUAAAACCCAGAGAAGAGACAGAAGAGACUGUGAAACUCCUCUUUGGACCCCAUCUGGAGCCACAGCA